Molecule: microRNA precursor, 67 nt
Filed under: Marmota monax (woodchuck)
Lineage: Eukaryota; Metazoa; Chordata; Mammalia; Rodentia; Sciuridae
Source: RNAcentral
UUGCAUUUUUAAAGUAAAAUGGCUAAAAUGUGUUUGUUUAACACAUUUUAGCCAUUUUACUUUAAAG